RNAcentral lists this ribosomal RNA (223 nucleotides) under uncultured bacterium. RNAcentral's name for it is "partial 16S ribosomal RNA". It matches the Rfam family "Bacterial small subunit ribosomal RNA", at positions 943 to 1167 of the family's 1533-position model. The record is from RNAcentral.
GGUUUAAUUCGAUGAUACGCGAGGAACCUUACCCGGGCUUGAACUGCAGGAGAACGAUUCAGAGAUGAUGAGGUCCUUCGGGACUCCUGUGGAGGUGCUGCAGGUUGUCGUCAGCUCGUGCCGUGAGGUGUCGGCUUAAGUGCCAUAACGAGCGCAACCCCUCUCCGUAGUUGCCAUCGGGUGAUGCCGGGCACUCUGCGGACACUGCCACCGUAAGGUGUGA